GAUGAACGCUGGCGGCGUGCCUAAUACAUGCAAGUCGAGCGAACAGAUAAGGAGCUUGCUCCUUUGACGUUAGCGGCGGACGGGUGAGUAACACGUGGGUAACCUACCUAUAAGACUGGGAUAACUUCGGGAAACCGGAGCCAAUACCGGAUAAUAUUUCGAACCGCAUGGUUCGAUAGUGGAAGAUGGUUUUGCUAUCACUUAUAGAUGGACCCGCGCCGUAUUAGCUAGUUGGUAAGGUAACGGCUUACCAAGGCGACGAUACGUAGCCGACCUGAGAGGGUGAUCGGCCACACUGGAACUGAGACACGGCCCAGACUCCUACGGGAGGCAGCAGUAGGGAAUCUUCCGCAAUGGGCGAAAGCCUGACGGAGCAACGCCGCGUGAGUGAUGAAGGUCUUCGGAUCGUAAAACUCUGUUAUUAGGGAAGAACAUACGUGUAAGUAACUGUGCACGUCUUGACGGUACCUAAUCAGAAAGCCACGGCUAACUACGUG
RNAcentral lists this ribosomal RNA (497 nucleotides) under uncultured bacterium. RNAcentral's name for it is "partial 16S ribosomal RNA". It matches the Rfam family "Bacterial small subunit ribosomal RNA", at positions 28 to 507 of the family's 1533-position model. The record is from RNAcentral.